ACGAGAAGGCGUAGCAAUACGCUUGUAAAGUGGCGAACGGGUGAGGAAUACAUGGGUAACCUACCCUCGAGUGGGGGAUAACCCGCCGAAAGGCGGGCUAAUACCGCGUACGCUUCCGAUCCUGCGGGAUCGGAAGGAAAGCUGUCCCAAGGGGAUGGCGCUCAAGGAUGGGCUCAUGUCCUAUCAGCUUGUUGGUAGGGUAAUGGCCUACCAAGGCAUCGACGGGUAGCUGGUCUGAGAGGACGAUCAGCCACACUGGCACUGCGACACGGGCCAGACUCCUACGGGAGGCAGCAGUGAGGAAUAUUGCGCAAUGGGCGAAAGCCUGACGCAGCGACGCCGCGUGGGGGAUGAAGGUCUUCGGAUUGUAAACCCCUUUCGGGAGGGAAGACGGCCUUAGACAACUAAGGCGGACGGUACCUCCAGAAGCAGCCACGGCUAACUUCGUGCCAGCAGCCGCGGUAAUACGAAGGUGGCAAGCGUUGUUCGGAUUUACUGGGCGUAAAGGGAGCGUAGGUGGUUAGGUAAGCCCUCCGGGAAAUCUUCAGGCUUAACCUGAAAAGGUCGGGGGGGACUGCCUAGCUAGAGGGCGGGAGAGGAGCGCGGAAUUCCCGGUGUAGCGGUGAAAUGCGUAGAGAUCGGGAGGAAGGCCGGUGGCGAAGGCGGCGCUCUGGAACGUUUCUGACACUGAGGCUCGAAAGCGUGGGGAGCAAACAGGAUUAGAUACCCUGGUAGUCCACGCCCUAAACGAUGGACACUAAGUGCCGGCGGGUUACCGUCGGUGCCGCAGCUAACGCAUUAAGUGUCCCGCCUGGGGAGUACGGCCGCAAGGUUGAAACUCAAGGAAUUGACGGGGGCCCCACAAGCGGUGGAGCAUGUGGUUUAAUUCGACCCACCGCGAAAAACCUUACCAGGCUGGAC
RNAcentral lists this ribosomal RNA (921 nucleotides) under uncultured Nitrospira sp. RNAcentral describes it as "bacterial SSU rRNA". It matches the Rfam family "Bacterial small subunit ribosomal RNA", at positions 66 to 985 of the family's 1533-position model. Lineage: Bacteria; Pseudomonadati; Nitrospirota; Nitrospiria; Nitrospirales; Nitrospiraceae. The record is from RNAcentral.